GGGGGGGGGCAAGCGUUGUUCGGAAUUACUGGGCGUAAAGCGCGUGUAGGCGGUCCUGCAAGUCUUUCGUGAAAUCCCACAGCUCAACUGUGGAACUGCGAGGGAAACUGCAGGACUUGAGUCCGGGAGAGGAGAGUGGAAUUCCCAGUGUAGCGGUGAAAUGCGUAGAUAUUGGGAGGAACACCGGUGGCGAAGGCGGCUCUCUGGACCGGUACUGACGCUGAGGCGCGAAAGCUAGGGGAGCAAACGGGAUUAGAUACCCCGGUAGUCCUAGCCUUAAACGAUGAGCACUUGGUGUGGCGGGUAUCGACCCCUGCCGUGCCGAAGCUAACGCAUUAAGUGCUCCGCCUGGGGAGUACGGUCGCAAAGGCUG
RNAcentral lists this ribosomal RNA (373 nucleotides) under uncultured organism. Its description in RNAcentral is "partial 16S ribosomal RNA". It matches the Rfam family "Bacterial small subunit ribosomal RNA", at positions 526 to 896 of the family's 1533-position model. The record is from RNAcentral.